GGUUGAUCCUGCCAGUAGUCAUAUGCUUGUCUCAAAGACUAAGCCAUGCAUGUCUAAGUAUAACGGGCUUAUACUAGAAAACUGCGGAUGGCUCAUUAAAUCAGUUAUAGUUUAUUUGAUUCUGCUUCGCUACAUGGAUAGCCGUGGCAAUUCUAGAGCUAAUACAUGCAUAAACUCCCGACUUCUGGAAGGGAGGUAUUUAUUAGAUACAAAACCAACUCGGGAAACCGGUUUUUGGUGAUUCAUAAUAACUUCGCGAAUCGCAUGGUCUUGCACCGGCGAUGGUUCAUUCA
This 293-nucleotide ribosomal RNA is filed under the name uncultured eukaryote. RNAcentral's name for it is "partial 18S ribosomal RNA". It matches the Rfam family "Eukaryotic small subunit ribosomal RNA", at positions 6 to 301 of the family's 1831-position model. The record is from RNAcentral.